RNAcentral lists this ribosomal RNA (468 nucleotides) under uncultured bacterium. RNAcentral describes it as "partial 16S ribosomal RNA". It matches the Rfam family "Bacterial small subunit ribosomal RNA", at positions 28 to 507 of the family's 1533-position model. The record is from RNAcentral.
GACGAACGCUGGCGGCGUGCUUAACACAUGCAAGUCGAACGGAAAGGCCCUGCUUUUGUGGGGUGCUCGAGUGGCGAACGGGUGAGUAACACGCGAGUAACCUGCCCCUGACUUUGGGAUAACUUUAGGAAACUGGGGCUAAUAUCGGAUAGGAGAUCUUGCUGCAUGGUGUUGGAUGGUAAGAUUCGGCGGUGGGGGAUGGACUCGCGGCUUAUCAGCUUGUUGGUGGGGUAGUGGCUUACCAAGGCUGUGACGGGUAGCCGGCAUGAGAGGUGGACCGGGGACAUUGGGACUGAGAUACGGAGCAGACGCGUAUGGGAGGCAGCAGGGGGGAAUAUUGCGGAGUGGGCGGAAGCCUGAUGCAGCGAUGCCGCGUGCGGGAUGACGGCCUUUGGGUUGUAAACAGCUUUCGCCUGUGACGAAGCGUGAGUGACGGUAAUGGGUAAAGAAGCCCCGGCUAACUACGUG